This 1651-nucleotide long non-coding RNA is filed under the name Salvia miltiorrhiza (redroot sage). RNAcentral describes it as "long non-coding RNA (SMIL_LNC005611)". The record is from RNAcentral. Lineage: Eukaryota; Viridiplantae; Streptophyta; Magnoliopsida; Lamiales; Lamiaceae.
GACUUGAACUGCGUCCCUUCGCCACAAUCAACUGAUUUUUCAGACCUCAUCUGUUUCUCUAUCUCUCUCUAUCUUUCACACACACUACACACACAUGGCUCGCUCUCUUCUUUUCUUGCUAUUGCUUCCUCUGAUUCUCCUAAUGUCGAAAGCCGAGGCGCUCUCCAACAGUCCCAUCUUGCCCAAAGCUGCGAUCUUUCCGGUUUCGAAGGAUUCCUCAACUCUUCAAUACGUCGCUCAUGUUUCCAUGGGUGAAAAUCUUGAUUCCCUCAAUCUCGUGGUUGAUCUCAAUGGCCCUUUUGUGUGGAUGGCAUCUGGGCUCAAAUCUGCCUCUGAUUCUCAGCAGCCCAUCAAGAGUUGCUCGCUCAAGUGCUCCAUGGCUAAGUCGACUAGGGGUGGUGGAGCAGAGUACAACUCCAAGACCAAGAGUUGUACCUUGCUGGCAGAGAACACAAUUUCAAGAAUUUCUGCAUCUGGAGAUCUGAGUGAGGAUGUGAUGGCUAUGGAGUUCUGGGAUGGGAGUGGCUCUCCUUCAUUUGCCAAGAGUGAGAAAUUCUUGUUUUUAUCUUCCCCAAAUUUGUUGCUCAAGGGCUUGGCUCAUGAGGCUAGAGGGGUGCUAGGGUUGGGAGAUUCAAGAAUCUCACUCCCAUCACAAUUCUCCACCACAUUUGGAUUCUUUGAGAGGAAAUUCUCACUGUGUUUGUCCCCUAAAAAGGGUGCACUUUUCCUAGGUGGGAACCCUCUUGAGAGCUCAAUGAUGUUCACUCCUCUAAUCUCCAAGAAAAGUGGGGGUGAUCAAGAAGGUUAUUACAUUGAUGUGAGUUCAAUUAAGGUUUCUGGCAAGAAACUCCCUUUGCAUCAAAAAGGGAUUAUUCUUGGUGCCAAAAUCAGCACCAUUGUUCCUUACACUACAUUUGAGAGCAAGAUUUAUGCUGCAUUUGUUGAGUCCUAUGUUGGUGCUGCCAUCUCCAUGAAUUUGAGUCUAGUGCAAUCUGUGGCUCCAUUUGAAGUGUGUUUCAGCUCAAGAGAUGGGGGGAAUGUUCCAGUUGUUGAUCUUGUUUUGCAGAGUGAGCUGGUGAAGUGGAGGAUUCAUGGUGAGAAUUCAAUGGUGGUGGUGAGUGAUGAAGUGAUGUGUUUGGGAUUCUUGGAUGGUGGUCUGAAUCCUAGGGAUUCAAUUGUUGUUGGUGGGCAUCAGAUUGAGGAUCAUCUGCUUGAGUUCAACUUGGGAAACUCCAUGCUUGGAUUUGCUUCAUUGUUGAAGGGAGACAAGAAGUGCUCUGAUUUUGAAGCAUCUUCAAUGGAUGGGGAGAUCUUGUGAUGCUUUGUUGAGGAGAGGGGACUAAUUUUUGAUUGAAUCCUCAAUUUGUAUAGUUGGGGGAUUCUAGUUUCUAAUCUUAUAAUGUUUUUCUUUUCCUUUUUUUUUUCCUUCUUUUUAUCUUUGUAGAUUUUUUUUUUCUGAUGUAACAAGUUUUCUGGAUGAAGUAUGAUAAUUAUCGAGGGUUGUGGAGAAGAGGAAAUUACUCACUUUUGCCAUAGUAAUGUUACAUGGAUUGGAAUCAUAAUCACAAGUUUGUGAAUUUUGUAUUUCUUUAGUAAUUACCACACUUUUUAAAAAAGUUGAAAAAUUAAAAUAAAAAAUGAUUUUGACCCC